UACGAAGGGGGCUAGCGUUGUUCGGAAUUACUGGGCGAAAAGCGCACGUAGGCGGACUGCCAAGUCAGGGGUGAAAUCCCGGGGCUCAACCUCGGAAAUGCCUCUGAUACUGUCAGUCUAGAGUCCGGAAGAGGUGGGUGGAAUUCCUAGUGUAGAGGUGAAAUUCGCAGAUAUUAGGAAGAACACCGGUGGCGAAGGCGGCCCACUGGUCCGGAACUGACGCUGAGGUGCGAAAGCGUGGGGAGCAAACAGG
This 253-nucleotide ribosomal RNA is filed under the name uncultured bacterium. RNAcentral's name for it is "partial 16S ribosomal RNA". It matches the Rfam family "Bacterial small subunit ribosomal RNA", at positions 524 to 776 of the family's 1533-position model. The record is from RNAcentral.